This 321-nucleotide ribosomal RNA is filed under the name uncultured bacterium. RNAcentral describes it as "bacterial SSU rRNA". It matches the Rfam family "Bacterial small subunit ribosomal RNA", at positions 28 to 334 of the family's 1533-position model. The record is from RNAcentral.
GAUGAACGCUAGCGACAGGCUUAACACAUGCAAGUCGAGGGGCAGCGGGGGCGAAAGCUUGCUUUCGCCUGCCGGCGACCGGCGCACGGGUGAGUAACACGUAUGGAACCUGCCCUAUGCAGGGGGAUAAGCGGAAGAAAUUCCGUCUAAUACCGCAUAACACCAUUUGGAGACAUCUCCAGGUGGUCAAAGGAGGCGACUCCGGCAUAGGAUGGCCAUGCGUCGCAUUAGCUAGUCGGCGGGGUAACGGCCCACCGAGGCGACGAUGCGUAGGGGUUCUGAGAGGAAGGUCCCCCACAUUGGAACUGAGACACGGUCCAA